UCCUAGCGGCGGACGGGUGAGUAACACGUGAGGAACCUGCCUUACACAGGGGAAUAACACCGUGAAACGGUGCUAAUACCGCAUAACACCGCACUAUGGCAUCAUAGAACGGUCAAAGGAGAAAUCCGGUGUAAGAUGGCCUCGCGCCCGAUUAGUUAGUUGGUGGGGUAAUGGCCUACCAAGACUGCGAUCGGUAGCCGGACUGAGAGGUCGAACGGCCACAUUGGAACUGAGAGACGGUCCAGACUCCUACGGGAGGCAGCAGUGGGGAAUAUUGGGCAAUGGGGGGAAAAACCCCCUGACCCAGCAACGCCGCGUGAAGGAAGAAGGCCUUCGGGUUGUAAACUUCUUUGAUCAGGGAAGAAACAAAUGACGGUACCUGAAAAACAAGCCACGGCUAACUACGUGCCAGCAGCCGC
Molecule: ribosomal RNA, 419 nt
Filed under: uncultured bacterium
Lineage: Bacteria
Description: bacterial SSU rRNA
Rfam family: Bacterial small subunit ribosomal RNA
Source: RNAcentral